GCUUCCUUAGCUCAGUUGGUUAGAGCUAUCGGCUCAUAACCGAUUGGUCGUAGGUUCGAAUCCUACAGGAAGCA
RNAcentral lists this transfer RNA (74 nucleotides) under Caudoviricetes sp. Its description in RNAcentral is "tRNA-Met". It matches the Rfam family "tRNA". Rfam says of the family: Transfer RNA (tRNA) molecules are approximately 80 nucleotides in length. Their secondary structure includes four short double-helical elements and three loops (D, anti-codon, and T loops). The record is from RNAcentral. Lineage: Duplodnaviria; Heunggongvirae; Uroviricota; Caudoviricetes.